GCAGUGUGGAGGCGCUGAGGCUGCUGGAGGCGCGGGCCGGGCGGUGCGCACUGCGGGCGCAUCCCUGCCCCGGCGCCGUCCGUGCCCGCGGGACCUGACAGCCGGGUCAGAGCAUGGGGAAAUGAUUGAUGACUGACAGCUGCUGAAGCCCUACUCCUGUGCGGUGGAUGGACAGUGCUCCCUGGGGUCCCAGCUCCAACUACUGGCAUCUUGUCAAAGCAGCAGCCCAGGUGGCCACCACUGCCGAUCAGACUUAAUGGAUGAAGACAGGAAGGCUGGGCAGAGCCCUUCAGCUUCCGACUCUGGUUCAGUCACUGAAAUCCGCAAUAUCAUCUCUGUCAAGGUCAGGUCCUACUGCCACGAUGAAAAGGCUUCUGGGGAAGAAGAAAGAAACCUGCCCCAUGGGUGCCAGCCUGGAGGUCCACACUAGAGGUCCCUGCUGGGAGAUCCUCAGCCUGGAGGUUCCCAACCUGGGGGUCCGUGCUGGGAGGUCCCCAGUCUGGAGGUCCCCAACCUGGAGGUUCUUAACCUGGUGAUCCCCAACCAGAAGGUCCCUACUGGAAUGUCUCCAGCCUGGAGGUUCCCAACCUGGAGUUCCCUGCUGCGAGGUCCCCAGCCUGGAGGUGCCUGCCUGAAGGUCCCCAGCCUGGAGGCCCUGCUGGGAGGUCCCCAACCUGGAGGUACCUGCCCGAAGGUCCCCAGCCUGGAGGUACCUGCCUGAAGGUCCCCAGCCUGGAGGCCCUGCUGGGAGGUCCCAUCUGAAGGCUCCACCUGGUGGUGUCUUUCGUAACCCCAGUCCCCAGCUCUGCUGUAUCAGGACGUUACAAACGGCCUGAUUGCCCCCAAGAAAGUCGAGGGGUCCUGACCCCUGCACUCCUCCGUUUCACACAGCCUGGGGAGCCCAGAGGAGCAGGACAUCCAAGGCCCAGGCCGUCUGCAGGGGUGGUCAGCAGACGGCAGUGAUGGGCUGGUGUCUGCCCCUGAGAUCAGAGGUGAACAGGAAUGGGAGCCUCUGUUUCCUGCAGGUCCUCCCUGCUCGGGAGGUGGGUUCGGUAAGGGCUGGGUUUACUGUCAUUCAUUUCCUUACAUCAUCUUGGUCUUAGCUGUGUGAGACUAGCUGUCCCUGCAGUCUGGGAGGGGUUGGCCUGUUCCCCAACCCGCUACAGCCCCCUUGUGUGUGGUAUCCGCCAGACAUAUCUCGAUAGUGGGGGCUCCAGGUGGGGGCGCCGAGGGGCCCUUGGGUGGAGACGCAAGAUGGGGCAGCGGCUGGCGAGAAGCGAACCUAGGGGGCUCCUCUCUGGGGCCCAGGAAGAGUUCUUGGAGAGGCUGUCCUGGCUCUGACAGGAGAGCGGGCCUCCCCUUUGGUGGGCGUGCUGGGCGGGGCCCCAGGCUGCAGGAGGACUGUGAUGGGAGCAAGGGGUGCCCCCUCUCUCAGGGAGCCCCAGGAGGGCAGAGGCUGCAGCGCGUGUUCACAGGACGGGAGCAUGAGGGAAUGCACUCCGCGGCGUGGGAAGAAACAGUCGUGGGGACCAGGGCAUCGCACGCGGGGCCUGCCGCAUCCAUGCACUGCUGGGCCUGGUGCCCGUGUUCCCGCAGAGCAGCAGACACCACCACUCCGCCGGCCCUUGGAUCUCUCCUCAGUGGGAAGAGAGGCUGGGGACGGGCCGGCCACCUGCCGCCUCGCUGGACUUCUGCCCUGGGAUUCCUGAGACGAGAGCCGAGCGUCCUAAGCUGCCCUCGUCCAGGUGCCCCGUGGCCUCCCUCGGGAAACGCACUGUAGCUUGGCCUCCGGGCCGCGGUCAGUGCCUGCGGGCCUCUGGGUCCAGGCUGUGGGAACUGUCCACUUCCUGGGAGGGCAGGAGUGAGAGACCUGAGUGGGUGACCCCAGGCAGCCCCAGCCCCCCACACUCCAUCAGGAGAAGAGGGGUCAGGGCCACAGCCAACCAGUCUCCGCUUCCUGCUUGCUUCCCACCGCCUCUGCCCAUCUGGAAGCCCUGGCUGCAGUGGGGGCCCUCCUCGUGGUGAUGGGCCUGGAGGUUCUUGGCGGCCACUGGAGCUUCCUGCAGCCACUAGGCCUGCGCAGCCUCCCCUCUGCCCACAGGGCAGCCCCACGGCCACCUCCGCUCUGUGGUUUGCCUUCUUGGACUCAGGGCUUCACUGUUUUGAAAAGCCCGGGUGCUGCAGUGAGGACCCCGCUCCGCAUUUCUGCCGGGAGCUGUGAGCAGCCAGGCCAGCCUCCUCACGGUGCCAGGAAGCCUCUCCUUCUGGCCCAGAGCAGCAGCUGCCCCUUCCAGCAUUGACCGUGGGUGAUCAACAACCUGGCAUGGGGGCAGGAUUUUCCCUAUAGAACCAUUGAACAACACGGACCUGUCAGCUCAAGGUACCUUCUGGCUUUGCAGGUGGCUAGAGAUCCAUGCAACCACAGGUGGGCCUGGUUGGGCCCCUCCAAACCCUCACCCUCUUCCUCCCUCCCUUUCACUCCCCCCCCCCCGUUUUUUUUUUUUUUUUUUGAGACAGAGUCUCACUCUAUUGCCCAGGCUGGAGUGCAAUGGCGCGAUCUUGGCUUACUGCAACCUCUGCCCCCCGCGGGUUCAAGCAGUUCUGCCGCAGCCUCUCGGGUAGCUGGGAUUACAGACGUGCACCACCAUGCCCGGCUAAUUUUUGUAUUUUUAGUAGAGACGGGGUUUCACCAUGUUGGCCAGGCUGGUCUCGGACUCCUGACUCAGAUGAUCCACCCACCUCGGCCACCACGCCCGGACCACUCCCCAGUUCUUGACAAGUCUGCAGUUCCUGCACUGUCCUAGACUAUGGAACACCUGGGAGGGACAGAGAGCUUGUCCUGGGACCACCAGCUGGACGAGCCUAUCACCCACCCCCGAGGUAGAAGACCUGGGGCGCAGCCCUGAUCUAUUGAUUUUUUUUUUUGAGGGUCUCACUCUCAUCCAGGCUGGGGUACAGUGGUGUGAUCACAGCUCACUGCAGUCUCGAAUUCCUGGGCUCAAGCCAGCCUCCCACCUUGGCCUCCCAAAGCACUCAGAUUAACAUGUGUGAGCCAGUGCACCUGAGCUCCACCCUGAUUUACAUAAAGACCACACUCUGGGCUGGACCCCACCCGCCCGCGUGCACACCUCAGCUGGAGCCCACGCCAGGUGCCUGCUCCCACUGGGCAGGAAGUGCGGACCUCCGAGAGGCACAGGCUGGGCCUGCUGGCCAUGGGUGUGCCCAUCACGACUCCCUCGUCAUGUCUCCUCAUCACAUCUCCUCUCUGCUCGGGGCCAGGCUCUGAGACGCCACAGGCUGAUGGCCGGAGCCAGGCGGACUUUGAGUCUGGGUCUGAGAUGGCUCCACGUGUACAAUGCACACUGGUUUCAAAGCUGUGGAGUGAGAAGAAAGACGUGCUUUCGUUAGUCACUUUUUAUAUGGGUUACCUGUUGAAGGGGCAACCCCCUGUUCCUGUAGGGCCUCGGCUCUCACUUCCUGACUUGGACCCCACCCGCCAAGCCCUAGUGUGCGUGUCCUGGGCCUGUGCUUCCUGCCUGGUGGGAGCUGGUGCUUAGCCAGGGCUCAAUGGAGAGAGCAGAGAUGAUGGCAGGGGUAUGUGUGCACGCGUGUGUAUGCGUGCUCGUGUGAGUGGGGAUUUCUGCCUAGGGUGUGGGAACGUCUGAGCCCCGUGGGGACUUUGGGUCAUUAUUUAAAUUUGGGCUAAGUUCUACUAGGUCUUCUGUCACCUGCUGGAGUUAUUUUCUUUCUGCCACAUUUUAGAAAAUAAAAUGCACCGAACAAA
This is an RNA transcript of Homo sapiens (human), 3784 nucleotides long. It is a transcript of the gene named cholesin, with no coding region annotated. The record is from RefSeq and is marked validated. NCBI's taxonomy places the organism in Eukaryota, Metazoa, Chordata, Mammalia, Primates, Hominidae. The transcript is spliced from 2 exons.